Molecule: long non-coding RNA, 1361 nt
Organism: Astatotilapia calliptera (eastern happy)
Lineage: Eukaryota; Metazoa; Chordata; Actinopteri; Cichliformes; Cichlidae
Source: Ensembl
GUGAGACUGGUAAACUUAUGAUACGUACGAUGGUCUUUCGUUCUACACGGUGCAUUUCAAGGUCCUGUACCCAUCCGUCGGUAAACUGUACCUGGGCUUGUUGCAGUGACCUGAAGUUACUAAACUUCAUGAGUGUAUGCACUCACUCCAAGAACCGUAUAAUUAUAAAUAUGCAUAUAAAUAUGCUACGAUGAGAUAGCUGACUUCAUCUAACUAGCAAAUGUUGUCCAGGCUACGUUGGUGAUACAGUUUUUUUUAAUAUGUAUGAUAUUUUUGUCAUGUGAUUUUAAAGCCGGUCCUACAACCGCAUCCAAGAAUAACAUGCAGCUUAUCUCAGAACUGUCGGUGAAAAUUAUUCUUGGAGCUAGGUUUAAUUGAGCUGCAUUUUAAAGAGGUGCAAUUUCACAAUUUGUGUAUAUUUUCUAAGUUCACUAUUUUGUCAUGUGUUGAGAAAAACACAGAUUUUAAAAUUACAUGGUCUAAUAUUUACAUUUAGCAUAACUGCAACAUGCUUUUUUUCGUUUUUUUUUUUUUUUUUAAAGACUCGAAAGGACUUGAAAUUCAAAGUUUCAGACUUGUGACUUGACUCGGACUUUUACACCAGUGACUUGAGACUCGACUCUGACUUGCCUGACAUUACUUGAGACUUGACUUGAGACUUGAGGAUAAAGACUUGAGACUUACUUGAGACUUGCAAAACAAUGACUUGGUCCCACCUCUGUCUUAUUGUACCAAACCACAUAGAAUUUAUGGUGCCAGGUGAAAACUCAGCACUGUGGUAGCAUCAGUAAGGCAAUGUCAAAUUACUAUCCUACUCUAUUCUUAUAAUCAGAAAGAAUAUGGUGUUCAGAAGAGGAACUGGCAGCAAGGUUCAACACCUUUCUUCCUUUAAGACACUGAAGAGAGUUGCUUUCUGUCCACAGGUGUAAUAAUGUAGAAAGUGUGAAAUUGAAAUAGAAAUAUUACAUUCCCUUCUGAACUCUGUACUCAUAGCAUAGAAUAAGCUAAAUCAAUAUUAUAUGGUGCUUCAGUGACAACAGUGAGUGUGACUGCAUUCUGAACAUGCAGCUUCGACAACAUAUUAAAGUUACAGGUAAAACUUAACUGAUUUUUGAAAAUACAAGGAUAAAAUCAGACUAUCAAAUAAAUAAUAAUAAUAAUGGAUUGGAUUUAUAUAGCGCUUUUCAAGGCACCCAAAGCGCUUUACAAUACCACUAUUCAUUCACUCUCACAUUCACACACUGGUGGAGGCAAGCUACAGUUGUAGCCACAGCUGCCCUGGGGCAAACUGACAGAAGCGAGGCUGCCAUAUUGCGCCAUCGGCCCCUCCGGCCAACACCAGUAGGCAAGUAGGGUAAAGU